Molecule: long non-coding RNA, 151 nt
Organism: Aricia agestis (brown argus)
Lineage: Eukaryota; Metazoa; Arthropoda; Insecta; Lepidoptera; Lycaenidae
Exons: 3
Source: RefSeq, a predicted model, not a curated record
GUUUCCACAGGAGCUGAGCUAAGUUGCGUUGCGAGGAAUGUGUUUUACAAGUACCAAUAGAAUCGUUGCGCUGAAUGUUGCCAGGCAAAUGAAGCGUUUCUAUUGGUUCUUAAAAAGACACUAACUAUUUGACCGAGCUUUGCUCGGAUUC